AGAGAGCAGGACUGCUGUGCUCUCAGAAGCACGGAGGCCUCCGUGCUCCUGAGCCAUUUUCGAUGAUGGAAUUUCAGAAUCGACGAUCGGCUCCGUUAGACUUGAUCUAGCAUAUUUGAAGUUUCUAGAAAAUAAUUUUUUACGAUUUUUGAUAUCAUUUACCUAGCAAUCGAAAUGAUUCAAAAUCAAUAAUUUUUAAUGGCUGAAAAUAAAAAUUCUAUAAAAAGUGGUGAUAUAGAACUAAAAUUUUCGAUCAGAAAUAUUGAUCUUGUUGUAGAUUGUAUAAAGAAUUUUAUAUCAAAAUUUCAUCUGAUUUGAAUGCUUCUACACCGUUAAACUUGAAAUCGACCGAUAUCAACCAUUAAAAAUUAUUGAUUUUAAAUCCUUCUGAUCACUAGGUAAAUGAUAUCAAAAAAUCGCAAAAAUUAUUUUCUAAAAACUUCAAAUACACUAGAUCAAGUCUAAUGGAACCGAUCGUCAAUUCGGAAGCUCCAUCAUCGAAAACGACUUAGGAGCACGGAGGCCUCCGUGCUCCUAAUAGCACACAAGAGAAAAGGAAAAAAGAAAAGAGAAGAAAAGAGGAGAGAGAAAAAAUCUGUUAACUUUAACCCAUCUAAUAGUGGGUUUUCCAGUUAAAAGGGAAUUUAAUCUCAUCCAUCCAUCUAUCUAGAUGGAUGGUGGAUGUUGUAAUAGCACAGGGACUGCUGUGCUCUUAAGAGCACGACGGUUUAAGAGCACAACAGCCCUACUCACUCACUCUCUCUCUCUCUCUCUCUCUCUCUCUCUCUCUCUCUCUCUCUCUCUCUCUCUCUAUAUAUAUAUAUAUAUAUAUAUAUAUAUAUAGAGAGAGAGAGUUGAUCUAGGAUACUUUCACAAGUAUCAUCUCCAUGUUGCUAUCACGUUUUUAGCCAUUGGAUUUACUUUUUAAUUAUAAAUAGCCCUUGGAUCAAACACUAUUCCACCUACCACCACCUACCACCACCUACCACCAUCAUCUCAACCUCACAUCUCUCCAUCCAAGGGCUAAAAACACACAAGUAUCACUUGGGUGAUACUUGUAAAAGUAUUCUAGCCCUACUCAUAUAUAUAUAUAUAUAGGCUAAUAUACUAUUAAUAGCACAAAGUCAUUGGUGCUACAAAGUUUUUGGUCAUUGGAUUAAGAGAUGUGCGGUUAGGAUGAUAUGGGCCCCCUAGGAUUGAGUGGGUGGUUGCUUGAAUAGUAUAAUCUAACGGGUGAAAAUGAUCAAAAGGGUAGAUCUAACGGCGGAAAACUUGAUAGCACCGAGUGCUUCGUGCUAUUAAUAGCAUAGUAGCCGGACUCU
This 1322-nucleotide long non-coding RNA is filed under the name Ananas comosus (pineapple). RNAcentral's name for it is "long non-coding RNA (ACOM_LNC039875)". The record is from RNAcentral. Lineage: Eukaryota; Viridiplantae; Streptophyta; Magnoliopsida; Poales; Bromeliaceae.